CAUAGGUUAAUGAGGCGAACCGGGGGAACUGAAACAUCUAAGUACCCCGAGGAAAAGAAAUCAACCGAGAUUCCCCCAGUAGCGGCGAGCGAACGGGGAGCAGCCCAGAGCCUGAAUCAGUGUGUGUGUUAGUGGAAGCGUCUGGAAAGGCGCGCGAUACAGGGUGACAGCCCCGUACACAAAAAUGCACAUGCUGUGAGCUCGAUGAGUAGGGCGGGACACGUGGUAUCCUGUCUGAAUAUGGGGGGACCAUCCUCCAAGGCUAAAUACUCCUGACUGACCGAUAGUGAACCAGUACCGUGAGGGAAAGGCGAAAAGAACCCCGGCGAGGGGAGUGAAAAAGAACCUGAAACCGUGUACGUACAAGCAGUGGGAGCACGCUUAGGCGUGUGACUGCGUACCUUUUGUAUAAUGGGUCAGCGACUUAUAUUCUGUAGCAAGGUUAACCGAAUAGGGGAGCCGAAGGGAAACCGAGUCUUAACUGGGCGUUAAGUUGCAGGGUAUAGACCCGAAACCCGGUGAUCUAGCCAUGGGCAGGUUGAAGGUUGGGUAACACUAACUGGAGGACCGAACCGACUAAUGUUGAAAAAUUAGCGGAUGACUUGUGGCUGGGGGUGAAAGGCCAAUCAAACCGGGAGAUAGCUGGUUCUCCCCGAAAGCUAUUUAGGUAGCGCCUCGUGAAUUCAUCUCCGGGGGUAGAGCACUGUUUCGGCAAGGGGGUCAUCCCGACUUACCAACCCGAUGCAAACUGCGAAUACCGGAGAAUGUUAUCACGGGAGACACACGGCGGGUGCUAACGUCCGUCGUGAAGAGGGAAACAACCCAGACCGCCAGCUAAGGUCCCAAAGUCAUGGUUAAGUGGGAAACGAUGUGGGAAGGCCCAGACAGCCAGGAUGUUGGCUUAGAAGCAGCCAUCAUUUAAAGAAAGCGUAAUAGCUCACUGGUCGAGUCGGCCUGCGCGGAAGAUGUAACGGGGCUAAACCAUGCACCGAAGCUGCGGCAGCGACGCUUAUGCGUUGUUGGGUAGGGGAGCGUUCUGUAAGCCUGUGAAGGUGUGCUGUGAGGCAUGCUGGAGGUAUCAGAAGUGCGAAUGCUGACAUAAGUAACGAUAAAGCGGGUGAAAAGCCCGCUCGCCGGAAGACCAAGGGUUCCUGUCCAACGUUAAUCGGGGCAGGGUGAGUCGACCCCUAAGGCGAGGCCGAAAGGCGUAGUCGAUGGGAAACAGGUUAAUAUUCCUGUACUUGGUGUUACUGCGAAGGGGGGACGGAGAAGGCUAUGUUGGCCGGGCGACGGUUGUCCCGGUUUAAGCGUGUAGGCUGGUUUUCCAGGCAAAUCCGGAAAAUCAAGGCUGAGGCGUGAUGACGAGGCACUACGGUGCUGAAGCAACAAAUGCCCUGCUUCCAGGAAAAGCCUCUAAGCAUCAGGUAACAUCAAAUCGUACCCCAAACCGACACAGGUGGUCAGGUAGAGAAUACCAAGGCGCUUGAGAGAACUCGGGUGAAGGAACUAGGCAAAAUGGUGCCGUAACUUCGGGAGAAGGCACGCUGAUAUGUAGGUGAAGUCCCUCGCGGAUGGAGCUGAAAUCAGUCGAAGAUACCAGCUGGCUGCAACUGUUUAUUAAAAACACAGCACUGUGCAAACACGAAAGUGGACGUAUACGGUGUGACGCCUGCCCGGUGCCGGAAGGUUAAUUGAUGGGGUCAGCGCAAG
This 1710-nucleotide ribosomal RNA is filed under the name Escherichia coli. Its description in RNAcentral is "partial 23S ribosomal RNA". It matches the Rfam family "Bacterial large subunit ribosomal RNA", at positions 165 to 1899 of the family's 2925-position model. Lineage: Bacteria; Pseudomonadati; Pseudomonadota; Gammaproteobacteria; Enterobacterales; Enterobacteriaceae. The record is from RNAcentral.